Molecule: ribosomal RNA, 669 nt
Filed under: uncultured Bacteroidales bacterium
Lineage: Bacteria; Pseudomonadati; Bacteroidota; Bacteroidia; Bacteroidales
Description: bacterial SSU rRNA
Rfam family: Bacterial small subunit ribosomal RNA
Source: RNAcentral
UUGGUUUGCUUGCAAACCAAAGCUGGCGACCGGCGCACGGGUGAGUAACACGUAUCCAACCUACCUCAUACUCGGGGAUAGCCUUUCGAAAGAAAGAUUAAUAUCCGAUAGCAUAUAUUUCCCGCAUGGGUUUUAUAUUAAAGAAAUUCGGUAUGAGAUGGGGAUGCGUUCCAUUAGUUUGUUGGGGGGGUAACGGCCCACCAAGACUACGAUGGAUAGGGGUUCUGAGAGGAAGGUCCCCCACAUUGGAACUGAGACACGGUCCAAACUCNUACGGGAGGCAGCAGUGAGGAAUAUUGGUCAAUGGACGCGAGUCUGAACCAGCCAAGUAGCGUGAAGGAUGACUGCCCUAUGGGUUGUAAACUUCUUUUAUAUGGGAAUAAAGUGGUCCACGUGUGGACUUUUGUAUGUACCAUAUGAAUAAGGAUCGGCUAACUCCGUGCCAGCAGCCGCGGUAAUACGGAGGAUCCGAGCGUUAUCCGGAUUUAUUGGGUUUAAAGGGAGCGUAGGCGGAUUGUUAAGUCAGUUGCGAAAGUUUGCGGCUCAACCGUAAAAUUGCAGUUGAUACUGGCAGUCUUGAGUGCAGUAGAGGUGGGCGGAAUUCGUGGUGUAGCGGUGAAAUGCUUAGAUAUCACGAAGAACUCCGAUUGCGAAGGCAGCUCACUGGAG